RNAcentral lists this ribosomal RNA (503 nucleotides) under uncultured bacterium. RNAcentral's name for it is "partial 16S ribosomal RNA". It matches the Rfam family "Bacterial small subunit ribosomal RNA", at positions 28 to 507 of the family's 1533-position model. The record is from RNAcentral.
GACGAACGCUGGCGGCGUGCUUAACACAUGCAAGUCGAACGGUGAAGCGCUUUCCUUUUUGGUUGGUGUGGAUGAGUGGCGAACGGGUGAGUAACACGUGAGUAACCUGCCCCCUUCUUCUGGAUAACCGCAUGAAAGUGUGGCUAAUACGGGAUAUUCUGCGCCUGCUGCAUGGUGGGUGUGGGAAAGAUUGUGCCUUUGGGUGUUUUCGGUGGGGGAUGGGCUCGCGGCCUAUCAGCUUGUUGGUGGGGUGAUGGCCUACCAAGGCGGUGACGGGUAGCCGGACGGAGAGGGUGGACGGUCACACUGGGACUGAGACACGGCCCAGACUGCUACGGGAGGCAGCAGUGGGGAAGAUUGCACAAUGGGCGCAAGCCUGAUGCAGCGACGCCGCGUGAGGGAGGGAGGCCUUCGGGUUGUGAACCUCUUUCGCCAGUGAAGCAGGCCUGCUCCUUGUGGGUGGGUUGACGGUAGCUGGAGAAGAAGCGCCGGCUAACUACGUG